This 316-nucleotide long non-coding RNA is filed under the name Setaria viridis. RNAcentral describes it as "long non-coding RNA (SVIR_LNC006398)". Lineage: Eukaryota; Viridiplantae; Streptophyta; Magnoliopsida; Poales; Poaceae. The record is from RNAcentral.
CACAACGCACGCGCGCACGUAUUUGCAUUCUUUUCGUGUAACCAACCGCGUGAGUUGGUGUAACAUCUUGCCAUUUGCAUGUAAUCUUUUGACAACGAUCAUUAUGGGUGUUUAAUCACACGCAGAGGGAAGUAACUAGAGAAGUAGAGAUAAACAAUGUAUCAUUGAAAUAUGGUGUCGGCCUAUUUACAUUCUAUUUAGUGGCUUCCAUCCAUACUCUACCUCUUCUCUAUAUUGCUCUGAAUACCCAAGAAAAGAAUAUGCAAACCAAGAGAGAAUGCUACCACCAUUUUGUCCAUUACCAUCUAUACUCUCC